This 494-nucleotide ribosomal RNA is filed under the name uncultured bacterium. Its description in RNAcentral is "partial 16S ribosomal RNA". It matches the Rfam family "Bacterial small subunit ribosomal RNA", at positions 28 to 507 of the family's 1533-position model. The record is from RNAcentral.
GACGAACGCUGGCGGCGUGCUUAACACAUGCAAGUCGAACGGUGAAGCGCCUUCCUUUUUGGUUGGUGUGGAUGAGUGGCGAACGGGUGAGUAACACGUGAGUAACCUGCCCCCUUCUUCUGGAUAACCGCAUGAAAGUGUGGCUAAUACGGGAUAUUCUGGGUCUGUCGCAUGAUGGGUCUGGGAAAGAUAUUGUUUCGGUGGGGGAUGGGCUCGCGGACUAUCAGCUUGUGGGUGGGGUGAUGGCCUACCAAGGCGGUGACGGGUAGCCGGCCUGAGAGGGUGGACGGUCACACUGGGACUGAGACACGGCCAAGACUCCGACGGGAGGCAGCAGGGGGGAAUAUUGCACAAUGGGCGCAAGCCUGAUGCAGCGACGCCGCGGGAGGGAUGGAGGCCUUCGGGUUGUGAACCUCUUUCGCCAGUGAAGCAGGCCUGCCUCGUUUGUGGGUGGGUUGACGGUAGCUGGAUAAGAAGCGCCGGCUAACUACGUG